CCCAGAGGUAUUGAUUGGUGAAUGUUUCAUGGUACGCCUUGCGUACUUCAUCACUUACACCGACCUGCGCAGAUGCGCAGGUUUUUUUU
Molecule: small RNA, 89 nt
Filed under: Kluyvera ascorbata
Lineage: Bacteria; Pseudomonadati; Pseudomonadota; Gammaproteobacteria; Enterobacterales; Enterobacteriaceae
Description: OmrA-B family
Rfam family: OmrA-B family
Source: RNAcentral